ACACGUAUGAAAGUCAAGCUGAAAGACUUUACUCAAUGAUGUAAGUGGUGGUGCAUGGUCGUUCUUAGUUCGUGGAUUGAUUUGUCUGGUCGAUUCCGAUAACGAGCGAGACCCCGGUGUUCCUAAUAGGGGCGGGAGCCCGCUGGCCGCAAGGCCAGCAGCUACCGCCUGAGAUGUACUUCUUAGACACAUCAGGGCCGAUAAGGUCCUUGAAAUGGGUUAAUAACAGGUCAGUCAUGCCCUUAGAUGUUCUGGGCCGCACGCGCGUUACAAUGGCACGUAUAGAAAGUGCCUCCAAAGGCGUAUCCCGGGCCUAACGGCUCGGGUAACCCUUAGUCCCUGCUUUGACUGGGAUAGAUCCUUGCAAUUAUUGGUCUCUAACGAGGAAUUUUUAGUAAGCGCGGGUCAUUAACCCGUGCUGA
RNAcentral lists this ribosomal RNA (422 nucleotides) under Nannengaella mellea. RNAcentral's name for it is "SSU rRNA". It matches the Rfam family "Eukaryotic small subunit ribosomal RNA", at positions 1230 to 1644 of the family's 1831-position model. Lineage: Eukaryota; Evosea; Eumycetozoa; Physariida; Physaraceae. The record is from RNAcentral.